RNAcentral lists this ribosomal RNA (192 nucleotides) under Coreoleuciscus splendidus (Korean splendid dace). RNAcentral's name for it is "partial large subunit ribosomal RNA". The record is from RNAcentral. Lineage: Eukaryota; Metazoa; Chordata; Actinopteri; Cypriniformes; Gobionidae.
CCUAACCACUUAUAUAACCCAACAAUGUUCCUAACAAAACAUGACCUAACACCAAAAAUUAAACCAUUUUUUUACCUAAGUAUGGGAGACAGAAAAGGUUCCACCUAGAGCAAUAGAAAAAGUACCGCAGGGGAAAGCUGAAAGAGAAAUGAAAUAACCCAUAUCAGCACAAAGAAACAAAGACUAAACCUU